Non-coding RNA from Labeo rohita (rohu), 596 nucleotides. The record is from the annotation of a RefSeq genome assembly. Lineage: Eukaryota; Metazoa; Chordata; Actinopteri; Cypriniformes; Cyprinidae.
GAGGAGGUACUGUAUGUGUGGGAGGAGCUCAGUAUUUUGUAAACUCCAGCAGAAUAAAUCAGAGACAACACCUUCAUACAGAUACUGAGACCAGUCUGAACUCAAACGACAGAAUCAUGUUACUCAUCUCUUCUGUUUUCAUUUUUAUUCUUAGUUACUGUGAAUCUAAUGGGGAUGUCAUCAGACCAAACCAACCAUUUGUAGUUUUAACUGAAGGAAGCAACACCACUCUGUCCUGUACAUAUGAUGGAUCAGCUUACAGUCUCCAUUGGUAUCGGCAGCAGCCUGGAUCAAAACCAGAGUUUCUACUGCUGAUUGUUGAGUCUACUAAAACUGUAGUUCCAGCUUCUCCACCUCACCCGCAUAUGUCCAUCAGACACCAUGAUAAUAAAACUGUGGAUCUGGAGAUCUCCUCUGCUACUGUAUCAGACUCUGCCAUGUACUACUGUGCCCUGCAGCCCACAGUGACAGGAAAACAAUCUACACAGUACAAAAACCUUCUUGUCAUUUUCCUGUUGCAUAUUCAUAUUUCUCCACCGUAAUCUCUGAGAUAUUCCAUUAUGCUGCCGAUCUAUAUGGCAUUAAACGUACAUUAC